UUGUAACCCCCCAGAGUCGUAAAGAUUCUCCCUUUUUUGCCAUAGCAUGAGAACCAAGGUGUCACCCUCGUCUUUUUCCUCUCUCCGAUCGCAGGAGUAAACCCUACGGUCGAGAGGGGGAAGGAGGAGGAGGGGAGAGAUAGGGAUGUUAUUGGAGGAGCGGAGUGCGCAAUUCCCUGUUUGAGCGAAGAGGGAAGGGCGCUUAGGGUUUCUGUGGUGGUCAAAUUAGGGUUUAGAGAUGGAACCUGCCCUUUUGGAUGAUGUGAUACAGAGGCUCUUGGGGGUGAGAGGGACGAAGCCGGGGAAGCAGGUGGUGCUGACGGAGGCGGAGAUCAAUAAGCUCUGCGUCGCGGCGAAGGGCAUCUUCCUCCAGCAGACCAAUUUGCUCGAGCUCGAGGCGCCGAUCAAGAUUUGUGGUGAUGUUCAUGGCCAGUACUCUGAUCUUCUCAGGCUGUUUGAAUAUGGCGGACUCCCUCCACAAUCUAACUACCUUUUCUUAGGUGAUUACGUGGAUCGAGGAAAGCAAAGCCUUGAGACAAUAUGCCUUCUGUUGGCAUAUAAAGUCAAAUACCCUGAAAACUUCUUUCUCUUGAGGGGGAACCAUGAGUGUGCGUCCAUUAACCGGAUUUAUGGGUUUUAUGAUGAAUGCAAGCGCAGAUACAGUGUUAAGCUCUGGAAGGUCUUCUCCGAUUGUUUCAACUGCCUACCUGUGGCUGCUUUAAUAGAUGAGAAGAUAUUAUGCAUGCAUGGCGGGCUUUCUCCUGACUUGCAUGAUUUGGACCAAAUACGUAAUUUAGCCCGCCCAACUGAUGUGCCUGAUACUGGUUUGUUAUGUGAUCUUCUGUGGUCAGAUCCUUGUAAAGAAAUUCAAGGAUGGGGAAUGAACGAUAGAGGUGUAUCUUAUACCUUUGGGGCGGAUAAAGUCGCUGAGUUCCUUGAGAAGCACAAUCUAGACCUAAUUUGCCGUGCUCAUCAGGUGGUGGAAGAUGGAUAUGAGUUCUUUGCUGAUAGGCAGCUGGUUACGAUAUUCUCAGCGCCUAAUUACUGCGGUGAAUUCGAUAAUGCUGGUGCUAUGAUGAGCGUAGAUGGCACCCUUAUGUGCUCCUUCCAAAUAUUGAAGCCUGCAGGAAAAACGUUCUUCGGAGGCACACCUUCAGCUAAAGGUGGAACACCUGCCGUCAGUAUGAAGUUCCUUAUAUGCUCUGUUUGUGACCAUUUGAGAACCCAGCUUUUCGACGUGGAAGGAUGCUUUGAUUGAGAGGGCUCCACUGUCACUUAUGUGAGAGCUCUCUGAAGUCGGAGAAUCUAUUCGGCUCGAGAUUCCAAUGACUCUUGCGAACUCUCGAAUAAAGGGGUACGAGAUUUACACCUUUUUGGGCGUACAAGUAGCAUUUUUUUGUAUGGACGCUGAGACGUCAUUCUCAUGCCAUCGAAAGAUUAGAUACCCUAUGGUUAUGGCCACUAAUCUAUCAACUUUGACCACCAAUUAACAAGCAUAGACGGUGGGAAAUGGCCGUCACAAAAAUUCCAGUUACCCUGUACUUUACCUCUUUGAGAGGGGCAAGGAGGAGAGAAGAGGGGGUAAAGAGGGAAAAGCCGUGGCUUCUCGGAGCAGCUGCUUCUCCCAAAACGCGUUCUAGGGCCAGGAAUGAAAGUCAGGCCAAAUAGACAAAUUAUUAAAGCUAGCACAUCAGCAGCGUCGGGGAAGCUCGACCGCAAUCGUCAGAUCCUCCAGGUUUCUGUACUUUGCGCAGAGCCGCAAUCGUCAGAUCCUUCAGGUUUCUGUACUUUGCGCAGAGCCCCAAUCCAGCGGCGAAGGCCCACCACGGCUACACGCCGGGUAUCGGCGUGCAGAACUCGCUGUUCGAAGCAGAAGUCGCUCAAGAUGUCUGGCGAGAACCAGCCCAGUGGUGACGCUGGUGACGCCGUCUCUGUCGCCGGGUACAAGAGGACCUUCCCCGUUUAAUUUGUUCACUAUGUGUACACACAUAUGCGGAGUACUACUUACAAUACUCUUUCUCCCUAAGAACUUUUGAACUCUUAUCGAUUAAGGUAUGCAGAAAUUAUGUUGAGAGGGCCUUUAUUCGGCGAGAACAGUAUGAACGGUGAAUUAAACCGUCUCACGUAAA
Ananas comosus (pineapple) is the source of this 2129-nucleotide RNA transcript. It is a transcript of the gene named serine/threonine-protein phosphatase PP1-like, with no coding region annotated. The transcript has 6 exons. The record is from RefSeq and is a predicted model, not a curated record. Lineage: Eukaryota; Viridiplantae; Streptophyta; Magnoliopsida; Poales; Bromeliaceae.